This 301-nucleotide ribosomal RNA is filed under the name uncultured bacterium. RNAcentral describes it as "partial 16S ribosomal RNA". It matches the Rfam family "Bacterial small subunit ribosomal RNA", at positions 509 to 809 of the family's 1533-position model. The record is from RNAcentral.
CAGUCGCCGCGGUAACACGUAGGGUGCAAGCGUUAAUCGGAAUUACUGGGCGUAAAGCGUGCGCAGGCGGUCCGCUAAGACAGAUGUGAAAUCCCCGGGCUUAACCUGGGAACUGCAUUUGUGACUGGCGGGCUAGAGUAUGGCAGAGGGGGGUAGAAUUCCACGUGUAGCAGUGAAAUGCGUAGAUAUGUGGAGGAAUACCGAUGGCGAAGGCAGCCCCCUGGGAUAGCACUGACGCUCAUGCACGAAAGCGUGGGGAGCAAACAGGAUUAGAUACCCCUGUAGUCCUGUCUCUUAUACA